UCUGGGAUCAUAUCCAUUAGUCUGGUCUGGGAUCAUAUCUGAAUAUCCAUUAGUCUGGUCUGGAGGUCAGCUGUCUGGGAUCAUAUCUGAAUAUCCAUGCCUUGAUGACAAUACUACCAAACACUAUGGUAGAACAUAACUCAACACUACGGUAGAACAUAACUCAACACUACGGUAGAACAUAACUCAAUACUACCAAACACUAUGGUAGAACAUAACUCACUACUACGGUAGAACAUAACUCACUACUACCAAACACUAUGGUAGAACUCAACACUACGGUAGAACAUAACUCACUACUACCAAACACUAUGGUAGAACUCAACACUACGGUAGAACAUAACUCACUACUACCAAACACUACGGUAGAACAUAACUCACUACCACCAAACACUAUGGUAGAACAUAACUCAACACUACCAAACACUAUGGUAGAACAUAACUCAAUACUACCAAACACUAUGGUAGAACAUAACUCAAUACUACCAAACACUAUGGUAGAACAUAACUCAACACUACGGUAGAACAUAACUCAACACUACCAAACACUACGGUAGAACAUAACUCAACACUACCAAACACUAUGGUAGAACAUAACUCAACACUACGGUAGAACAUAACUCGGGGACACUGAACACACACCGUAACCUGUUGGCCCCUGGGAGGAGAUGAAAUAAAAGAUCCCAGAAAUGUUCCAUAACAAGGAAAAUGUAUUUCUUCAAAAUGUUGUGUUUUACGUCCCUUUUUA
This 748-nucleotide long non-coding RNA is filed under the name Salmo salar (Atlantic salmon). RNAcentral describes it as "lncRNA (ENSSSAG00000119086.1)". Lineage: Eukaryota; Metazoa; Chordata; Actinopteri; Salmoniformes; Salmonidae. The record is from RNAcentral.